Betta splendens (Siamese fighting fish) is the source of this 427-nucleotide long non-coding RNA. RefSeq lists it as uncharacterized. Lineage: Eukaryota; Metazoa; Chordata; Actinopteri; Anabantiformes; Osphronemidae. The transcript is spliced from 4 exons. The record is from RefSeq and is a predicted model, not a curated record.
CCACGCUGUUCUUACAGUGGUAGGUGAGGUUUUGAGAAGCCUCGGUUGAAAGCAAUCUCAGGAAGGUCAUCUGAAUGGCAGCAGUGUUGGGCGCCAGGCUGUCAUCACCGUAGCUGAACUGCAGGAGGUCACAGACUCUCCUGCCUCACCCUUGUCACCGCGAGGCCCUUGUGGUCCCUGGGGAGUGGACAACAUCCUAAUUCACCUUUGAUUGUCAGUGGGACCAACUGGGCCAGGAGCACCAGGACCACCUGGAGCACCAGGAGCACCAGCUGGACCGGUGUUACCACGAUCACCCUGCAGCACACAGAGCACAAACGCUCUCCUGCAGGUCCAGUGAGUCCAGGAGGUCCAACAGGUCCAGGGGGUCCACGGUCUCCUGCCCCACCAGAAGCUCCCUGUUUACCAGGCUCACCCUGAAAGACAG